CGUUGAGAGAAGCCUGAAAUAUCCAAGUGCUGCAAAAUGAUGAAGGCCGUGCUUGCUCUUGUUUUGGCUAUGGUAGCCAUCGCUUGCGCCUCGACCGGCGUUGAUGUCAUUCGCCACACUCCCGGAUAUGAUGGCUUCUAUGGUCUCUACGGAUAUGCACCCUAUUACUACGGAUACGGAAAUGGAUAUUUUGGAUAUGAUGGACUUGGUUUUGGACCUUACAACUACUAUGGUCUUGGAUACCGAGGAUACUUGGGAGGACUCGGUUAUUAUAGAUAUUUUUAAAGACCUAUUACCAGAAUUGAAAAAUAUCUUCAAAGAUUGUUUGUCAUAUGCAUCAGUAAUCCAAAAAUAAAAACUUGCAAGAUUAACGUAAAAAAUAAAUAAAGGCAUUACUAAUUGAAAUGGGAUUCUUUUUUGUUAAUAUUUUC
RNA transcript from Argiope bruennichi, 431 nucleotides. It is a transcript of the gene named shematrin-like protein 2, with no coding region annotated. The transcript has 3 exons. The record is from RefSeq and is a predicted model, not a curated record. Lineage: Eukaryota; Metazoa; Arthropoda; Arachnida; Araneae; Araneidae.